RNAcentral lists this ribosomal RNA (499 nucleotides) under uncultured bacterium. Its description in RNAcentral is "partial 16S ribosomal RNA". It matches the Rfam family "Bacterial small subunit ribosomal RNA", at positions 30 to 523 of the family's 1533-position model. The record is from RNAcentral.
AUUGAACGCUGGCGGAAUGCUUUACACAUGCAAGUCGAACGGCAGCACGGACUUCGGUCUGGUGGCGAGUGGCGAACGGGUGAGUAAUGUAUCGGAACGUGCCCAGUCGUGGGGGAUAACGUAGUGAAACUUACGCUAAUACCGCAUACGAUCUCUGGAUGAAAGCGGGGAUCGCAAGACCUCGCGCGAUUGGAGCGGCCGAUAUCAGAUUAGGUAGUUGGUGGGGUAAAGGCCCACCAAGCCAACGAUCUGUAGCUGGUCUGAGAGGACGACCAGCCACACUGGAACUGAGACACGGUCCAGACUCCUACGGGAGGCAGCAGGGGGGAAUUUUGGACAAUGGGCGAAAGCCUGAUCCAGCCAUUCCGCGUGCAGGAUGAAGGCCCUCGGGUUGUAAACUGCUUUUGUACAGAACGAAAAGGUUUCUACUAAUACUAGGAGCUCAUGACGGUACUGUAAGAAUAAGCACCGGCUAACUACGUGCCAGCCGCCGCCGUAA